UAGGGAAUCUUCGGCAAUGGGGGGAACCCUGACCGAGCAACGCCGCGUGAGUGAAGAAGGUUUUCGGAUCGUAAAGCUCUGUUGUUAAGGAAGAACGAGUGUGAGAAUGGAAAGUUCAUGCUGUGACGGUACUUAACCAGAAAGGGACGGCUAACUACGUGCCAGCAGCCGCGGUAAUACGUAGGUCCCGAGCGUUGUCCGGAUUUAUUGGGCGUAAAGCGAGCGCAGGCGGUCAAUUAAGUCUGAUGUGAAAGCCCCCGGCUCAACCGGGGAGGGUCAUUGGAAACUGGUUGACUUGAGUACAGAAGAGGAGAGUGGAAUUCCAUGUGUAGCGGUGAAAUGCGUAGAUAUAUGGAGGAACACCAGUGGCGAAGGCGACUCUCUGGUCUGUAACUGACGCUGAGGCUCGAAAGCGUGGGUAGCAAACAGG
RNAcentral lists this ribosomal RNA (430 nucleotides) under Bacteroidota bacterium. Its description in RNAcentral is "Bacteroidetes bacterium partial 16S ribosomal RNA". It matches the Rfam family "Bacterial small subunit ribosomal RNA", at positions 355 to 776 of the family's 1533-position model. Lineage: Bacteria; Pseudomonadati; Bacteroidota. The record is from RNAcentral.